CAAGUCGAGGGGCAGCACGGUGUAGCAAUACACUGGUGGCGACCGGCGCACGGGUGCGUAACGCGUAUGCAACCUACCCAUAACAGGGGGAUAACACUGAGAAAUUGGUACUAAUACCCCAUAACAUCAGGACCGGCAUCGGUUCUGGUUGAAAACUCCGGUGGUUAUGGAUGGGCAUGCGUUGUAUUAGCUGGUUGGUGAGGUAACGGCUCACCAAGGCAACGAUACAUAGGGGGACUGAGAGGUUAACCCCCACAUUGGUACUGAGACACGGACCAAACUCC
This 284-nucleotide ribosomal RNA is filed under the name uncultured Alistipes sp. Its description in RNAcentral is "partial 16S ribosomal RNA". It matches the Rfam family "Bacterial small subunit ribosomal RNA", at positions 58 to 339 of the family's 1533-position model. The record is from RNAcentral. Lineage: Bacteria; Pseudomonadati; Bacteroidota; Bacteroidia; Bacteroidales; Rikenellaceae.